GUCUGGGAUAGCUCAGCCGGUAGAGCAUGAGAAUCUUCAUCUCAAGGUCAUGGGUUCGAGCCCCCCCCCGGUUG
Podarcis lilfordi (Lilford's wall lizard) is the source of this 74-nucleotide non-coding RNA. NCBI's taxonomy places the organism in Eukaryota, Metazoa, Chordata, Lepidosauria, Squamata, Lacertidae. The record is from the annotation of a GenBank genome assembly.